GCGGGCGUGAUGGAAUGGUAGACAUACGGGACUUAAAAUCCCGAGGGGGUAGCCCCGUGCGGGUUCGAGUCCCGCCGCCCGCACCA
RNAcentral lists this transfer RNA (86 nucleotides) under Devosia sp. Its description in RNAcentral is "tRNA-Leu". It matches the Rfam family "tRNA". Rfam says of the family: Transfer RNA (tRNA) molecules are approximately 80 nucleotides in length. Their secondary structure includes four short double-helical elements and three loops (D, anti-codon, and T loops). Further hydrogen bonds mediate the characteristic L-shaped molecular structure. tRNAs have two regions of fundamental functional importance: the anti-codon, which is responsible for specific mRNA codon recognition, and the 3' end, to which the tRNAs corresponding amino acid is attached (by aminoacyl-tRNA synthetases). tRNAs cope with the degeneracy of the genetic code in two manners: having more than one tRNA (with a specific anti-codon) for a particular amino acid; and 'wobble' base-pairing, i.e. permitting non-standard base-pairing at the 3rd anti-codon position. Lineage: Bacteria; Pseudomonadati; Pseudomonadota; Alphaproteobacteria; Hyphomicrobiales; Devosiaceae. The record is from RNAcentral.